Molecule: ribosomal RNA, 453 nt
Filed under: uncultured soil bacterium
Lineage: Bacteria
Description: bacterial SSU rRNA
Rfam family: Bacterial small subunit ribosomal RNA
Source: RNAcentral
AGAGCGAACGCUGGCGGCAGGCCUAACACAUGCAAGUCGAACGGACCCUUCGGGGUUAGUGGCGGACGGGUGAGUAACACGUGGGAACGUGCCUUUAGGUUCGGAAUAGCUCCUGGAAACGGGUGGUAAUGCCGAAUGUGCCCUUCGGGGGAAAGAUUUAUCGCCUUUAGAGCGGCCCGCGUCUGAUUAGCUAGUUGGUGAGGUAAAGGCUCACCAAGGCUACGAUCAGUAGCUGGUCUGAGAGGAUGACCAGCCACAUUGGGACUGAGGCACGGCCCAAACUCCUACGGGAGCAGCAGUGGGAAUCUGCGCAAGUGGGACGAAAGCCUGACGCAGCCAUGCCGCGUGAAUGAAUGGAAGGUCUUAAGGAUUAGUAAAAUUCUUUACAGUAGGGACGAAUAAUGACGGUACUACAAGAAGAACGCCCGGACUAACUUCGUGCCAGCAGCCGAC